CCUCGAGCGCGCCGCCCGCGCCCAGCGCCCCACGCCCCGCGCCCCGGGCCGUGCAGCCAGCCCUUACCUUGCAGCGCCCGGCUGUCUCCCGAUCGCUAAAGCUACUUAUCCCGGGAAAGCUCGCGCGGGACCCGGGAACGAACCCACAGACAAAAAGUGAAACUUCGGCAGGGCUGGAGCGGCUGCUGGUUGGUGCCUUUCCCCCUCCUUCCUCCCCACCGUCCCCACCCCCUCCCCUUGGUCUCCCGUGCGGUGCCCUGAGCGCUGGAGGCUGACGUCAGGGGCCUGAAUUCCUGACUUUGCCUGCACGCAUUUGUCCAUGUAAGGUAUGGGAAGGCGUGUGCCCGCGAAGCCGCCGCGCAGAGCUCGCCUGGCGGGGGAGGGGAAACCCGCAGCCGGCAGUGGCUUUGCCAAAAGGUGGGCGCACUGAGGGCAUUGCAUUUCCUGGGAGGAAGAGGAGGAGACGCGGGAAUGCAGGGAGCUUGCAAAGGAGGAAGAGAAAGAGGGAGAUGUGGAGACUUUGCCCCUGCUAGAGGAAGAGGAAGGAGACGUAGGAGGAAGCGGCCGCGUCAGGGGGCUCCUGGAAAAUGGAAAAGCCUGCGUCUACUAUUAAGGCGUCAAAUUAGGGCACUGAGCUUGAGUGGAAGAGAUCCAGCCAUGAAAUCCCCUUCCAAGAUUUUCCUCGUGAGCCCCGCCCUGGAUUCCCAGCAAGACUCAAAACUUACAAGGUGUCAGAGCUGGCAAAGACCAACUUCCAACCCGUCCGCUUGGCACGUGAGGAAACUGAAGCUCUCGGAAGAGAAAUGACUUGUACAGGGUCGUCACUCAGCAGAUCGAGGAGCGGGCCCAGGCGCUCUGCCUCCCACUUGGGUUCCCGCCUCCAGGAAGGGCCCUGGCUCCCUUUUAGCCCUGAGCCUUGAAGCAGGUUAGAUGCCCGCGAGCUGUGCGGACCACCCAGUGAUUUCUACUGCUCUUGGCCCAGAGCCAGUUCCUGGAAGGUCCUGGUUGACAGCGAGCCCUGAAUAUCAAUGACAAUCAGUUGCUUCAGGGCAACUUCCUCUGUCCUGUGCUCAAAUAAAUGAAUCCCUGGAGUUUAACGUUUACUUCUGAGCCCCGCCCAGAAAGCUUGCUCUGUGCUUAUAGCUUCAAAAAAGUCUGCGAACGAGAUGAACUGGUUUGAAUACAGACAAGCCUGUCAUUGGAAGUUUUGAGUUGGAUUUUUCUUUCCCCUCUGACAUCUGUAAGGGUGAACGACGAUGAGAACCACCACUUAACUGUGUUAGGGGAUUAUGACGCGCAGCAGCCAUGGCCAGGAAAGCAUUCCAUACCCUGAGACUUCCUUUCCUUGCACUUCUCUCCUAUUAAUAUCUAAAGUAAUCCCUCACGUUAGCACAUAAUGAAAGCAGUCUCUCACCCGGCUAUUGCAUCUUCAGGUGAGUUAGAUAGGACAGAGCGUAGUCCCCCCUUUACACCUCAGACAAAAACUUAAGAAACGUUACUCGCCCAACACAAAACAACUGACUGACCAAGCACCUGUCUUCCCCUCCUCCCAUCCAGGUCUCCUGACUAAUCCCUUCAUCUUUCCAUACCUGGCCCUGACCUCUAGCAGGACCUAAUUCCAUUCAUAACUGUUGAGAGUACACCAUGAGCUACUGAUUCAUAAAAACUCCAAAAAGUGGUUCUUCUGAGGAUGGACUUUAGUGGGAUUCUUUUGACCAGGAAUUAAGGAAAUAAUGUAAAAACACAUGUUAUUGGAUUUAUUAAGCACCUUCCUUGUGCUUAAUAAGUGUUUGAAUUCAGACAUUUCAGGGGUAAGACUACUUAACCUCUGUGUUCCUCUCAACUAUCUAAUGUACACAUACAAAAAUAUGAACAUGGCUGGGCGCGGUGGCUUACACCUGUAAUUCCAGCACUUUGGGACGCCGAGGCGGGCAAAUCACCUGAGGUCAGGAGCUCGAGCCAGCCUGGCCAACAUGGCAAAACCCCAUCUCUACCAAAAAUACAAAAAACUAGCUGGGCGUGGCGGCGAGCGCCUGUAAUCCCAGGUAUUCCGGAAGCUGAGGCAGGAGAAUUGCCUGAACCCGGGAGGCAAAGGUUUUAGUGAGCCGAGAUUGCGCCACUGCACUCCAGCCUGGGGGACAGAGCAAGACUGUUGUCAAAAAAAAAAAAUAUAUAUAUAUACAAACACAUAUAUAUACACAUAUAUAUACAUAUAUACACAUAUAUAUACAUAUAUAUACACAUAUAUAUACAUAUAUAUAUACACACACACAUAUAUAUAUACACACAUACAUAUAUAUAUAUGAAGGCAGUAACAGAGAGAUAAGGUCGAGAAUAACCACCCAUUCCACAGACUAAUAAAGAAUUUAUCUCUUUGCAACUAACAUAGUUUGAAAUGGGAGAUACGGGCUCUUGGAGAGAGUUUUUUCUGGGGUUCUGAAAAGGUCAGAUCCUAUCAAAACACAAUCCACUCACUCAAACAUUUCAGCGUACUCACAUUCUGAGUACUACUGUUUAGUAUGAAAAGAAUUCCAGUGUUACAUGAAGUAAAAAUGGAUUAUCUCAAUCCUCAUGGAAUAUAACGGGACUUGACCAGCAUUUCCUUUUUUUUUUUCCUUCAGUAACUCACUUAUAAGGAAUAAUAGGGUCCUAAUGAGGAUUAAGAUUUAAUAAGGUGUAAUUAGAGUUGUUCAUUUCUUCCAUCAUAUACAUUAUAAGAGUACUGUGCCGGAUCCAGAAAUGCUACUAAUUAUGUUGAAACUGUUGUAUGGGUGUGUUGGGGAAGUCACUGUGUUUCUCCUCCUGAAAUGUUUAUGAAUUGCUCAGGUGAGCAUGGUGAGCAUGGUGUUAGCAUGAACAUCAUAUAAAGUUAACUACAAAAGAAAAAAAAAAAAAAA
RNAcentral lists this long non-coding RNA (2897 nucleotides) under Homo sapiens (human). RNAcentral describes it as "LPP antisense RNA 2 (LPP-AS2)". The record is from RNAcentral. Lineage: Eukaryota; Metazoa; Chordata; Mammalia; Primates; Hominidae.